Molecule: long non-coding RNA, 9221 nt
Organism: Bombus pyrosoma
Lineage: Eukaryota; Metazoa; Arthropoda; Insecta; Hymenoptera; Apidae
Exons: 2
Source: RefSeq, a predicted model, not a curated record
AGCUCGGUAGCUAUUAUGAUAAGAUAUUCACUGACAGAAACAGGAGAGGGAAGGAAUUUUCAAGUUGCAGCGUAGUCUUCGCAGCCGUAUCUAGAAUGUAAUAUAAGGAAACGUGGAGGAAAAUAGCGGAGGCAACGGAGCUGAGUGGCCAUGCGAACAGCGAACGACGAACGGUGAACGGGCGACCGGUGAGCUGCGAGGCUGAAAGGAAAAGGAAGAAAAAGGGGGUUCCAAGGAACCAAGGAGAGAACGGUGGAAAGAGAAUGGAGCGGCGCGGGGAGAACGGAUAGCUUCGAAGUGGGAGUCGCAGUCGGGGCUGGAGUCGGAGCUGGAGUCGGAACUGGAGUCGUAUUCGGAGUCGGUGGCGUGGGUGCGUCUACAGCGACUUCACCCACGCCAGUUUCGCUGCCGCCGCUUUUAUUUUAUGGCAAAAUUAUUCUGGCAGAAAAAUAAUUCAAUCUCUGCCGCUGUACAGAUUACCGUAGCAUCUUAUCGUGCGAAGCUACCGCCGAAUAGCCGCGAUAGCAUGGUCCAGCUGUCGCGAAUGGAAUUCCACUUUGCGAUUUCAAUACACGCACCAACAGGAGGAUAAUUAGAGGCGACGGCGAUACGAAUACUUGGUAAAUGCAUAUUCGGUUCUGCCGUUGGCAGUGCACGCGCGAUACGUUACGGAGCCAAUCUUGCUCCGGCUCAUCGAUGUCAAAAAUGUUUUCCGAUUUCAAUCGUUAAGUACCUUGGAGUGCGUGGAAUCGGCGAUCUCGUAUCGCGGAAACGAAUGGACGCAACGAAAUAAAAUUAAUGAGGGCGGAACGAGGCGAAGCGCUCCGCUCCGUUUGAUUUUAACGUUUAUAUACCAUCGAUACGGUCGUUAUUUUUAUAUUUUGUCGAGCACAAGUACAGCGUCGGGAGUAAACACGACAGGAUCGAUAGGCGGAUAUUCGCAAAUAAAGAAAGAAUGGAAAAGAGAUGUCGAGAGGGAAAAAAAAGAAGGCGGAAUUCCCGUCCGACGAUAAUAUCCGCGAAGCAGUUUUCUCGUGCCGUCGUAAAUUUGGAAAUUUUUCUAUGAUACUUGGAAAUGGAAGCGACGAAGGAGUAGCGAAAUAGAAGAGAAUGAGCUUUAAGGUCGAAUCGGAUCUAUCGCGUAGCGCGUGGGGAUGGGGAGCAUCGGCAGCGACAGGAUAAAAUAUCGCUCGACGUAUUUCAGAGAUCUUAGGGACUUGGUCGACGAACAUUGGACGGCAAUUGGUAGCGGCACUCGACGAUACCGUGGCCUGUGGAGCUUUGUGCCCGCCAUGGUGCCCGUCACGACGAAUCGACGCGGCCGAAAGAAGAAUGUUUUUACGUGUCGCCGGUGCCCUCGCAUCGCUUACCGUGAAUAAAGAAUCGUGGAACCGUACAGAUGUUUCUUCGACGUAUUUCUCGUCGACGCGUCUCUCGCACCUAUCAUAAAAAUACGUAUCGCCGGGCGUAUCACGAUACGUUUUCCACCUUCGACAAAUUACUCUCUUAUUUCGAGCCGGGGCUUGCUACCUUUGCCGGAAGAUACACCGUAAUCGUUCUCCGGUGGAAAGACAGUCUGAGAAAUGGUCGACACCGCCGGAACGAAAAUAUGAGCAACGCUUAAACGAAGAAGCGCAGGCCCGUGUUCCUCUUUUUCUUUUCGCUGCGAGAGGCCCCGGUUCCCGUGCAAAAAAACCUUCGCGAACAUCGUACGUCGAUACUUUACGUUUCCACGCGAUAUCGCGGUAACGUGCCGCUAUCGCGAGUUACGCGACCUUCGAAAAUGAACAUUGUAUUUUCCUGUCAUCUUAUCGGAGGCACGGUCGCCUCCAAUGGAAGAUCCGAAAGUUGGAAACUGUUUGGAAUUUCUGCUUCGAUCCUUGGCCCUUAUCGAUGGCAAUAACGCUUCAUUUUCCAAGCGCGGGAUCCCAAUGAUAACGAGAAGUUGCGAGAUCGAUGUAUUUCGCGUGAAAUCGGUAAGAGUAGAUUGAAUCGGCCAUUAACGUUGAGGAUCCACGGCAACGAAGAUUUUCCUCAAACGAGAGUUUAACAAAGUUCCAUGUUAUUACGAUAGAACAGCGAACUUUGAAUAUAAGAGGGAGUACAGAAGGAAGCUUGACUUUCAAGGGAAGGCAACUUCGCUUCCAAAAGAGCAAACAUCUCUCUGUUCCUUUUUCUCGAGGCAGAGCUCGGCAAAUUUUUAUCCCGGCGAAAGCAUUAAUUUGUGAAAAAAAAAAGAAAGAAAAAAAAAAAGAUAGCGAAAGAAGAAAAAAGAGAAGAGCCAAGUAUAGGAAUUUCGCGGCACGGUCGCGGCCUCCCCUUGCUCUAGCUCGCAUUUCAGGGAUAUUUAAGUUUCAUCGCGAAACUUUAGCGAGACGCUGCAUUUAUUAAAUCCUCCGGCAUAUUUGACGAGCAAAUCUGAGAAUUGUCGUGUCACUGUCGUCGUUCUCCUUUCGUCCGAAGUGAAGGAUGAGAAAAAAAGAAAAUCGAGACGAGGGGGUAUCCGAAGAAUGAGCAAGAGAGAAAAAGAUAGGGGAACGAAAGGGCAGGACCAUUCAUUUAUUAAAGGAACGGUAUUAAUGUUUGAGCUAGUUACAUAGAUCGAGAAAAGUUAAAACACAGCGACAACGUGGAUGAUCGUUGAUGUAUUCCGGUCGAGUAAAAGAUUACGUAUUACAUCUAUAGAAAAUCAAUCUCGUACUCGGCUGCCGUUUUAAUUAAUCGCGCAUCAGUUCGACCAGUCGGCCGCUUUCAUAAUACAAUUUUUAAUCACCAUUCGCGAUGUAAUUCGAUCAAUUUAAUUACAUUUCCCGUGAUACAAUAUAAAUUCAGCGUGCCACGCGAUAGAUAAUAUUUGAUGCGUUAAUAUCGCGAAAAGUAGGAAUCGACGUGUAAAAUGGAUCAGCGCGAGCCAACGAAUAAUAAAAGCUAUUACCGCGACGAUGGAUACACAAGGCGCAAUUAUAUAACCAUUACGAUUAAUAAAUGCGGCAUCGGCUCGCGAAAGGUGGGGCACCAUCUGCGUACCGCCCGUUUAAAGUUGCAAUCGACCUCGUUGCAACGCGUUUACGAUGCUUAUUAAAUUCAUUAGACGCGCGAGUUGCGCUCUCUACGGCUCCACGUACUCGUUCAAACGCGAAUCGUCGCCGUUUCUUUCACUCCGAUCGUUCUGGUCCGUAGUGCACGUCCUUCGCCGGUGGAGUCCAACAGUCAAAUAAAAAUCUUACGGAAUACUUUCAUUGUUUCUCGUUCUCGCCAACUGGCUGUCCAACUUUCGCGAGUAGUCUUCGAUUAUCGCCAACUUGGAUCUCGCCUGUAGGAGAGAGAAGGCCAGUCUCUCGUACGCGAGUGACGCUACUCAUUCGGGAAGAAAGUUUUUCCGACAAAAGAUUUGUUAUACGCGUGAAUAAUAGCUAAAAAGUGGAUGCUGAGAACGGUCCUUUUAUUUUUUCUCGAGCACUGAACUCGUUAUCGGAGUUAGGUAACCAGCUACAUACAUACAUACAUAUGUACGUAUAUAUAUAUAUAUACACGUGUAUAUAUAUAUAUAUAUAUAUAGUAGCUAGCAAAGUGAAAUGGAGGCCAGGAGGUGGGAAACGGGAGAUGGAAAGUUAGCAUACGAAUGCCCAAUUGUGUUUGUGGACUGGUUCGUCGCUCUGAUUUACAUAGUUAUUAUGAUAUUAUGCAGAUGCAAAAAGAUUUUUAUCAUCGUAGCUGUCGUUGUCGUUGGAAGGGAAAAGAAGGUAUACAAGUUGUAUGACACGAGUUUGCUCUGUCGUCUGUCCGCGUCUGUGACGCGUUGCCGCCGGCAUAAACCAGCCGAAAGGCUCGAGCGCCGCUCGAACGGAGACGAUUCGAGAGAUCGCGCGGCUCGAAACAAUCGGGUUGCAGAAACUAAGUGGACCGCAAAUCGCGGAUUAAAGCACCGCGGCGUAGAAAUACAUUAAGGAUGCCUCUUUGCAUCGGGCGUAGUCACGAGAUCCGAGAUCGCUCUUGAUCCACUGAACUCGCGUUCCGUUGCACCAGCGGUUAUCGCGAACAGGAACCAAAACCGUAUUUCGCUGACGGCGUAUGCGGAAAACCAAGCGGCGCCUCUGGAAUUGUACAAAAUUUCAAAGAGAACGGAAAUUAGUUCUCUACCUUGAACGUCGAUGUUAAUCUCAGAUUUUACGUGUUGCGCAGCUACGCUCCGGCUUCGCUACGUCGUAAAUUUCCUUUGCGUAUCUUAAUCGCAGUAAUUUUUCCCGUGCUUUGUAACCACCGUUGUAAUCUUCACCGGCUGGCCUUUCGUUUAAUCUUAUCCGCGUACUCGUAGACAAUUGCGCGCUAUCGAACGAUCGCCCUACUCCUCCGUGUCUAGGUGUUGCAGCUGAGCUCGAAUUCCGACCAACUUAACCAAUCGAUGAAUUUCGUUGUGCAAGAAACGCUUCCCUGAAACUUCAUUGUGCGUCGGAUCGUAACGGGCAAAACUAAAGCCGAUUACUAAAAUAACAGUCGAGUUUAGAAGGAGAGCGCACAAGAUUCAACGAACGAACGAGUUCAUUCGCGGCUUCGUAUAGCGCCUCGAGUGUUACGUCAGCUCUCGCGUCUAGCGGAAAUCGUUAAAACUUGUCGCCAAUGCAAGCAAAAUAUCGGGCAACGAAAAACAACGAAGAUGUCCUUCAACUUUUUCAUCGUCUCGCGUUAAUCUGCAUAUACACGCCUUGUAACAACCUCAACGAUUACGCUCUUCGUCUUAUUUUCCUAACGAUUAUUAUGCAAGGAGUAUGCCACGUAAAUAUCGAGGCGGCUGGUGGAUGGGAUAAUGGGUAGGUGCGCGGCAUUUAUCAGGAGGGUAAAAAGGCGUUAAAGUCACCGCGGCAAAAAAAGGACGUAAACGACGCAAACUCGACGGCCACUUAAUAAAUAUUUGAUCAAUCCUGACGGAGCGUUGCCGGGACGCGGUGAACGCCCGACCGAACGGUUUCGGGUAUUCUCCGCGGACCAAACGGAACGAUACCAAAGCGGAUUAUCGGAACGCCGAAGUGGAAGUCGAAGGAAAAGUUGGUCGCUCUUUUACCCAGAUUCCAGGGACUUUAAAUUCUCACGGCUCGAAUCCUUGCCGAAACUUUUCUCCGCGAUGGAGCACCGUAAAUAUAUAACCCCCUUCCCUGCUCUCGCUUCAACGCGUUCAAAGUCGCAAGCUGUUACACCGCGCGGCACCCACCGGCACCCACCGGCGCCCACCGGCAUCCACCUGCACCCAGCUGUCCCUUUCCCUCUCUGGAAUCGCCGCCCUACCGGCGGACCUGCUCUCACCUCGACCGUAAGAGGAGGAGGAGGUAGAGGACCGAGGCGAGCGACAGAACGAACCGGGAAGCUCCGUUCGACCCUCUCGGUCGCGUAGAAACGUCGAUGGCGCGGAGUCGCCGCCGCCACCACCGUCGCCUCUGUCGUCACCGACUACGCCGCGAUAAUUCCAUUUCCACGAAGCGGCGCGAAUUCGUACUUUAAUUAAUCGAAUUCGCGCCCAUGUCCCUGGGACCUGUCCGCCCCACCGCCGCUGCCAACCAACUACCCUCCACCACCUUUCGCAACCCUUCCUCCUUCUAGGACAAGUUUCGAUCCCGGAAAUUAGUAAGAUCGCACAUGCGGAACACGAAGGUUUCCUAACUGCACGCUGCACAUCCACUCAACCGCCCGACCACUCGCGCCUCGUAUACGUGCACAUACUUUAAGCUUGCACGCGCGCUCACAGGCGCGAACCAGAGCAGCUGGGGACGCGCAUUAUGCGCUCGCGAUUCGCGUCACGCUCCCUUAAUAUGUCGCAGCUAGAUGCUCUCCAUCCUUGCCAGCGGAAAAAAGGUUUAUUAAAGUCGAGCCAGGGAAAUUUGCAACUAAAUACCGUAUAUAUAUAUAUAUAUAUAUGUGUUAUAUAUAUACACACACACAUAUAUAUAUAUAAUAUACGUACGUGCGUCGCACGACAAACGUGAUUCGACUUUAACGGAUUGAAAUAUCGCGACCGGUUUUACCAGGGAUCGGAACCACGGAAAUAUUAGCGCGUUCCGAGCCGUUGAAUCGUUUUCAAUGGAACGAAAAUGGGGUGGAGCGAAGAAUGAUGCCUGGGGGGUGGUUGAACGAAGUGGGGAAAGUGUGGGAACAGGCAGCCCUCGCUAGGGCGCUCAUCCGAAAAUCUAAUUUCGGCGUAUUCCGCUUCCGCUAAGUUGUCCUCAAGUUUUCGGACGUUCGGGUCGCUUCGAAAAAUAACCGCGGCAGCCGUGCAAUUUGCAAUUAACCAAGUGGAACGAAGAAGCCGUUGAGAAAACAAAAGAAGCGGAACUCGCGCGUGUUACGUUAGGGCGUGCUUAAGGCUUCCAGGUUGUUGCGCCAACUUUCGAAACUAUUUUAGCGACGAACGCGGUACACCGAGUAAGAUCAGCCGCAGCGUUCACGCGCAAACACGAAAUUGCGUUUAAAACUUUGGCCCCCUUACUCCCGCAUGUUCACCGGAAUAGCGUGCAUUUCACACGCGUCAUCGUACGCGUAGCACGAUUAUUCCAUUCACGCCUUCUUCGUCCUCUGAUACGAGUCUGCGUGCCGCACGUAUGACCGCAGAGGCACGUGUCCUUAAAGCUCGAGCCGCGAGCAGAUUACAUCUAAUAUGCGAGCCAAGCGUCGGGACCUCGUCUGCCAAACUAUCCUUUCCUCGGUGAAGGCUCACGCGUACCGUGACUCCCACCGUGCGCAUACCUGGCGCGCGUGGUCACGUGCGUCUGCAUUACCGGCUGGUAAUUAACGUCAAUCUCGCGCUCUUGCAGCGCGUUUCUCCGGCCGUUGUAACCUCCACCUCCCUAGGCGCCAUCCUAACGCAAACCACGCGGAUGUUUGCGAUAUUAGGCGGCGUCGGGUACGGGGACGAGAGCGCGUAGCUUAUACUUUGACGGUUUAAUUAGGAGUUUCGAGCGAGAUAAGCGGCCCAUCGUCAUCGACGAUAACCGCGAAAGAACGAUUGACCGGUGACCUCCGGCUCGAUCAAUCGUUGGUUCGUUGCCGGGUCUUGCUCCGGCCGAAUGUUUUUAAUAAUCGGCGUGCCUCGUCAGUGAGGUAGCCGAUUCUUGGAAACGGCGAACUUGACUUUGUAGCGGAGUUGCGACGAGUUGGAGAAGAGAGGUUGUAGACGAUAGAACCGUGAAAUUUCAGAGGAACGACGUUCCGAUGGAUUAACGGAGAGCUUUAUUAAUCGGUUAACCUCUCACAAUUUAUCUUUCCGAAGAAGCGAGUUUAAGUUUUCGCGACGGGUCUCGGGAACUGCUGGAAAAGCGUUUACUCGCGUCGAUAUACAUCGCGAACAAGUUAAAGCCUGUCUGCGCGCUUUCUCGCGAAUCAACUUAGUUGCUGAUAAUAAAUAUCAUUAGGAUGACUCGACGGAACGAUAUUUUUCAAAGCGACCGCCAGAUACGCUGGAACCCCGAGAGCUUGGUGUCCCCGAUCGAUUCAUUUGUCAGGAAUUUACCGAGGAGCCUGUGGGUCUUCGGAAACGAGCGGCUCGACCCGGAGAAAAGGACCUACGUCGGUUUCGAGCUUUCGUAGAUACGGUUUUUACCUCGCCGUCCCAUUGUUCUUACGCGAACUUCGACAUCGAUUCCAUUACGAUCACGCUGGUGAAAUGGUCGUUCGGUUUCGAUGGACAAUUUGACAAAUCGUCGGAACGAUCCUACCGUGGCGGUGAUCGAGAUUCUGUUGGAGGGUAAAAGUGUCUAACGGGAAACCGAGUCCGAAUCGUUUCGGAUCCAGCCGAGGCCAGACGAGCCAAGGAGGAAGCGGCACUAUGUCAGGGAAAUGAACGCGUUAGUCACGCGUUGCACGCUGCGCCCUGGGGGUCACUUCGCAUUCAUAACCAGGUCCGUGGCGUUCUGAUGCUUGCGGGAUAAGAUCGGCAGCGAAGGAGCGCGCACGCGCGCCAACCGCUUAAGCGGUAAACUUGAAAAACUUGGUGAAGUAACCGGCACGGGCCCGGCCAGAGAGAGAAAAGAGCUAGUGGGGUAGUCGAGGCAAGCCGAGUGGAGCUACUUCAACUUCAGGGACAUUCACCACCAUCGUUGUCGUCGUCGUCGUCGUCGUCGUCGUCGUCGUUCGCGACCGCCCCUCCUUUUCUUCUUCCAGCGAGCCUUCGUCGCUUUACGCGCCAGCCUUGCGAACAAACUUUGUCGUUUUCCGCUAUUUUCGAUGGCCUGGCGCGUCAAUGAGCCCAACGCGAAGCGGCUCCGGGACACGAAACUCGGACAGUUUCGUGCCAACGAAAGGGAACUCGACGACCGUUUUGCACACUCUGGGUAGAUCUUGCGGAGGAUCCCCGAGAGUCAGUCAGACCUUCUUUGUAUUCACCGAUGAAUCUUCUUUCUUAUCGCGUCUUAUUCUCUCUACGUUCUCGCUGUAUCGCGUUAUCAAUUUCAAUUACGUAGGCAGCCUUCGUGGUUAACGUCGAGACUGUCGCAGUAGUGGAAAUUUAUCAUUUUUCACGCAAGUUUCAGAUUAGAUUUACCACGGUGCGCUUUUGGGAAUUUGAAUAAUUUCUUGCGGAAUAUAUGCGUAAAAGUUUAUUUUCCAUUAUGUACGUACAGCCUCGUUCGCUAGCACGCCAUCGUGCAUAAGUGUUUGGAAAUCCGAUUUAAUUCGAUCAACCUGUCUUUGCCGUUAGUUCUCUUUGCUGUUAGUUUUUGCUGUAACUGGAUUCGACGAAUUUAAUACCAGACAUCUUCCGUAUUUCCAUAUUAUCGCCCAAGUUUUAUAUUUAUCUCUGAUAAAUGGUCGAUACUUUGCAAAAUCUACGCAAAUAUUUGAAACACGAAUGGACAAAUACGCGUAUUUCGAUCGCUUCAACGUCCUAAAUGUCGAACGAAUACACGCAAUAUCACUCGGCUCUAUCGAUGAAGAAUAUUUGGCUCGAGUUAAACGAUUUACGACCUAAUUCCUCAAAUUCGGUUAUGAACAAUUUUUCGGCGAUUUACUUUUCCAAUACGGCCGAUUCGACUCGUUAGUAGCACUUUGCCGUUCGACGUCAUUGUGGGCGUAAUAAACGAAAAGCGAAACGCACAAUGACAGCUCGACGGCCGUACUUUUCUCCGAGGAUCUAACUUCUACUAUAGUUAAAAGAUAAGAGGUUUUGUUCGACUACUAAUGUCAAUAAUUUUAGUCGUAAUUAUAAUUCAGCAGCGCGACUGUAUUACUUUUGCCUGCAA